This 61-nucleotide small RNA is filed under the name Staphylococcus aureus. RNAcentral's name for it is "HMPRFS0000_2995". The record is from RNAcentral. Lineage: Bacteria; Bacillati; Bacillota; Bacilli; Caryophanales; Staphylococcaceae.
ACAUUAUUGAUGAAUUAUAACUUUGUCAUUAUCGAUACGCCACCAGUGAACACAGUUACAG